This 207-nucleotide ribosomal RNA is filed under the name uncultured bacterium. Its description in RNAcentral is "partial 16S ribosomal RNA". It matches the Rfam family "Bacterial small subunit ribosomal RNA", at positions 568 to 774 of the family's 1533-position model. The record is from RNAcentral.
CACGUAGGCGGCUUUUUAAGUCAGGGGUGAAAUCCUGGAGCUCAACUCCAGAACUGCCUUUGAUACUGAGAGGCUUGAGUCCGGGAGAGGUGAGUGGAACUGCGAGUGUAGAGGUGAAAUUCGUAGAUAUUCGCAAGAACACCAGUGGCGAAGGCGGCUCACUGGCCCGGUACUGACGCUGAGGUGCGAAAGCGUGGGGAGCAAACA